This is a long non-coding RNA of Ahaetulla prasina, 4132 nucleotides long. RefSeq lists it as uncharacterized. The transcript is spliced from 3 exons. NCBI's taxonomy places the organism in Eukaryota, Metazoa, Chordata, Lepidosauria, Squamata, Colubridae. The record is from RefSeq and is a predicted model, not a curated record.
CUUAGGCUCUUAAAGUUCUCCUGCAGACUCUUUCAUUCAGAACAUCAAGAUCGGAAUUGAGACAACAUGCAUGUGCCAUGUAGAUUCUGGUUCAAAAUUAGCCAUGAUGGCACAGUGCUUAGAAUGCAGUACUGCAGGCUACUUCUGCUGACUGCUGGCUGCCAACAGUUUUGCAGUUCGAUUCUGACUGGCUCAAGGUUGACUCAGCUUUCCAUCUUUCCGAGGUCAGUAAAAUAAGGACCCAGUUGUUGGGGGCAAGAUGCUGACUCUGUAAACCGCUUAGAGAGGACUGUAAAGCACUGUGAAGCAGUAUAUAAGUCUAAGUGCUAUUGCUAUUAGCCUGUAGAAGCUCAAUGUAAGGAAGCCAAGACCUCGUCAUUGAUCUUUUUAUUUAAUUAACAAAUUCAUGUGGCCACCCAUCUACUAUUGGAAGCAUGAAUGCUUAACAAAGAUAAGCACAUAAUAUAAUGAUCAAAGUCACUUUGAGAAAAAAAGACUAAAACAAAGUCAAGGCCCCAUUGAAAUCUCAGCACAAAUCGAAGAAUUGUCUAAGAAUAAAAUAAAGACUUCUAGACCCUGGCUUCCUAGUGCUACCAAUAACAAACACUACAAAUAUUUUGUUUUCUCUCCUUAAUGAUUUUAGAGGGACAGAAAAGGCAAGAUAGAAACAGUGGUGAAAAACACAGAAGUUAUAGAUCAGAGAUGGCUAACAUUUUUGCUGUUGCGUACCAAAAGCGAGGGGAGUGCAAGGGGGUUGCGCGUACGUGCGUGCCCACACCCAUAAUUCAAUGCACCCUACACCCCCGUGGGCGACCCUCCCGUGCCCCCCACUUUUGGCACAAGGUGGCACAGCAGGACUGGUAGGCCUGUUUUUCACCCUCCCCAGGCUACAGAGGGUUUCUUGGAACCUGGAGAGGGCGAAAAUGGCAUCCCCCCCCGAGGCCCUCUGGAGGCCGGAAACAGGCCAUUUCCUGACUUCCAGUGGGCCCGGAAGGCCCGAAAAUCAGAUGGCUGGCACAGGCAUGCUCCCUGGAGCUGAGCUAGGGCAACGCUUGCAUGCCUACAGAUAUAGCUCCGCAUGCCAUCUGUGGCACGCGUGCCAUAGGUUCGCCAUCACAAUUAUAGAUGGAACACAGCUGUUUUCUAAAUUGUCCAAUAAAGUUCUAAUUUUGAGAAAAGGCAAUUGGAGAAUAAAAGAAUAGUCAAAGCCUAUUAGACUCAAAGGCCUCAAGAAUAUUAUAUUGGGCAACUUCAUUCUUUUGCUUAAAGAAUAGCAUGUUAAAUAAUAAUUUGUUAAAAUGAUAAAUAUCACUUUUUAAAAUCAGAAGGCAGUUGGACAAUAUCUUGGAUAUUUGACUUAAUUCUGCCAUUUGUCCAAAUUCUAAUUGAUAUUAUCUCUAUUUAGGUCUUCACUAUCCAAGAGCAAUCUUGACAUGAUGGCUAGAAGAAAUCUGGGCUAAUAUUGUUCCCAUGAUAUAAUAUGCAUGCCUAUCACCUUAUUGGUUGAUGCUGAAAUAGCAUUAAUCUGAAGAAAAUCAGUUCUGCUUAACUUCUGAACACAUAACUGGAGAAUCAGUGAGAUAUCGAUAAGAUGAAGUUCGAGCAUGGGCCCAUUGGCCAUGUUGAUUACUGAUAGGUCUGGCUGGACUUGUUCAACAAAACUGAGGUAGUCUUCGUUUAGUGACUUCCUUGAACAGCGAUCGUUUGCAGUUUCAAUGGGUUCAUGUGGGCAGCACCUUUAAAGAAGACCAUCUGUUCCAGUCACUUGGAUCAGAAGAAAGGAGUUGCCCCAUUCCAGCUGAUGGCGGCUCCUUCCCAUUUAGUUCGAAUGGCCAUUUCCAGAGAUGGCACUCUUUUGUUGGGAUCCCUGUCAUCCACACAAUGGUUUUCUUCCCAGUGAUGAGAAUGUGUAUCUACGAAGAGAACAGCAAACAUGCAUUUAUUCUGUUUCUGGCAAAACAUAUCUUGAGUUCAUUUUAGCAUUAAUUCAGCGUAUAGCCAUAUCUUGAAAUUAGAAGUGCAGAUCAGUCUCAGUCACUUUUUGAAAUGUUUCUCAGAAUAAAGCUCACAAAAUGUAACCUUUGUGAAAGAAAUGAUACAAAGGAAAAUGAUUGUGCCCUAUGUUCACACAGCUACAUUUCAGAUUAGGACCAUUGCCUACAGUUUUUGAUACAGAAGACCAAGUGGCCAAGACCAGUCCUGUAUACUUCCAGAGUACGUGAAAUAGAAGACAUAGGAAGGUGGAUAUUGGUUAAAUGUUAGAAAAAAAACAUUCCCAGCAGUGAAACCAAUUAUCCAAAGAUAUACUGGGUUCCCUUCCUGGGAGAUAUUCAAAUAAAGGCUAGGUAGGAAAAGGAUGCUUUAAUUUGGAUUAUUGCACUGGUCAGAGAGUUGGACUCAAUAGCCUCAAUGAUCUCUUUGAAGUCUAGGAAUCACAGAAUAUUUUGAAAUAUGAAAAUGCGAUUGUACAUUUAUCAUUCUACAUCAUUAGCUUGUUGGAAUUUCUUCACACAUUUCCAUUUACUAGGCCAUUGUUUUCAGUGGUCUCUCUCUCUCUCUCUCUCUCUCUCUCUCUCUCUCUCUCUCUCUCUCUCUCCAGUCAUUCAUCUAUUUAUCCAUCUAUUUAUCCACUCAAUGGAGACCUCUCAAAUAUUUAAAAAGGAAUGUAGGACUAUUUCCCACAGUCAACUUGCCAUGGUGAACUGGCCAACUCGCCACUGCCAACUUGUCAUGGGACAAUUCACCGUGGAACAAGAGUUACACUAAUAUUGAAUAAAUUGUGGAAUAGAAUCAUUUAAAAAAGGAUUCCAAAGGAGGGACAAAAUGAAAUGUGAAUGACAAAAAAUAAAAUAUUUGUUUUUAGUUGUUUUAAACAAUUAAACCCAAUUGUUGAAUUGUCCUGCAGUGAAUUGGCCAUGGCGAAUUGUCCCAUGGUGAAUUGGCCAUGGCAAGUUGGUCACAAUGAAUUGUCCCAUUCCAUUUAAAAAGCCCCUUCUUGCCAAGUAUGUUCUCAUUCUAGCAUAGUAUUAGUACUCCAUACUAUGAUAUUCAAACCUCUACAUUUUUAUUACAGCACUUCAGCACGUCACUUAUUGUAUACAAUAGAGAACAGUUUUAUGAUAUAUAUGGUCUUUAGGUAAGUCUUUUAAUGGCUUAUAAGGCUUGAAACAACUGGAGUAUUUCCCUUACCUUUAUUGGCAAUGAUUUUGGAAUUUUCCCCAGAAACUUUCAAGUACAUUCUCAGUCAGAGCUGGAUCUUUUAAGGUGCUAGAUUGUUAAUUUUAAUUUGUUUACAGUUUGGGUGAUUUUCUAAGAAUUUUUAGGAAUACUUUUUAAUCUGGGGUUCAUCACUUUACAGUUAAAAAUUAGAAGGGGCAUUUAGAUCAAUAUCACUUUUAAAAUAUGAUUUACAAUGAUCAGAAAAGACAGGAAAAUGGAUUUAAGCAUUACUUGUGAGAAAAAAAAUAAGCAUCUUCCUUUAAUCUUUCUCCAAGAAAUAUAAAUGCCUACCUAUUGUUAGACGAACAGUUUUCUUUUGGGAGGGCUUGCCUUUAUAAAAAUAUAAAUCAAAGAGAUGUUCCAUUUUCCAAUCAGACAAUAACAACCUGUUUAAGCUGAAGAGAAUGCUGUAUGUUUCAUUUAUGUUGCACAGCCAUAUUGGCAAUUUUGGUGUCUUCAACAUGCUUCCAACCUGUAGUAUAAAAGUUGUAGUUAUGGAUCAAGUGAAAUAAAAUGCAUUUGCAUGUUUUUUUUAGAAUUACAUAUUUCUAAAUUUAAAAUGCAAACACUUCACUCUAAAAAGAUUAAACUGGCAUAAAAGUAAAAUGAGAUUCAUUGUCUGCAAAAAAUAGUGAUAGUUCUUUAUUUCAACCACCCUGGGAACAAUUCUGGAUUCUUCUGAGGGAUGUCUAAUUAGCCAUGUCUGGGAUAAUAAGCUAUCAUUCCCCAAGAUCUUUAAUUCUUCUAAAAUGCCAUCAAGUGGAGUGUGAAAGUUACGGCAGUCCAAGAAAUAGCCUGAAUUAUCCAGUGAAGCUGAAUGAUGAAAGAGAAAAACACAUGAAUUAUAAAAUUAUUUUUCAUGAGUUGUGGCAACAUCACCAACCUAACAAAUAUUAAACAGAGAUUUAUACAA